Molecule: long non-coding RNA, 201 nt
Filed under: Elaeis guineensis (African oil palm)
Lineage: Eukaryota; Viridiplantae; Streptophyta; Magnoliopsida; Arecales; Arecaceae
Description: long non-coding RNA (EGUI_LNC026597)
Source: RNAcentral
UCCUUGCUAACUUUAAUUUUGAAAUCAGAUUCUAAAUUUUGAAACCAGUUCCACCAUCUGAAGAUAGAUGAUAGGAACGAUUCAAGACUUACGUCAGCCAUGAGGUCAUAUAUAUUUCAACUUCCUAAUGUCCCCAUUCAGGGUGUUGGGGGUAGUGCAACGCGGUUUAAUACCCUUCAAAGCGAAUGAAACAGCUGUCAU